Molecule: non-coding RNA, 394 nt
Organism: Pelobates cultripes (western spadefoot toad)
Lineage: Eukaryota; Metazoa; Chordata; Amphibia; Anura; Pelobatidae
Source: the annotation of a GenBank genome assembly
GGCAGCCACAACUGGCCUAAUAUGCAGGUCCCCAUGCAAGGGACACUCCCCCCUGGACCUGAGAGUAGACUACAGUAAAAACAUAUACACAUUACAUUGGCUCUCAGGUCCAGGACACUCCCAUACAAAACAGGUCAAUCCCUCCCCUAUGCCUGGGAGAUAAUUGAGUCAGCACUGUAUUAAACUCAAUUAUCUCCAGGCACAGAAAACACACAUUUUUACAAAACACCCCAAAACACCUUAAAACACACAAAAUCCCCACAAAACUUACAUGCCCUGAUUUGGGUGACCAACAUAUCCAAAAAUCACCCAGAUCAAUUCAGGGUUUCAGGAAUUUCCUGGAAGUCAUAAUUUGACCGCCCACCCACAUGGUCCCAUGCCCAAAACAGUUCCA